Long non-coding RNA from Arabidopsis thaliana (thale cress), 298 nucleotides. RefSeq annotates it as other RNA. The record is from RefSeq. The transcript has a single exon. NCBI's taxonomy places the organism in Eukaryota, Viridiplantae, Streptophyta, Magnoliopsida, Brassicales, Brassicaceae.
UGGGCCUAUAAAUAUUAUAAUAAUGGGCCCUGAAAAUGAAAAUUGGCCCAAUUAGUGGAUAUAAAAAGUGACGAGAGAUUAGUAAAACCCGAGAUCAGCAUGUGAUGACUCACACUCACUAUUAAAAUCUUAAACAAAAAGCUUACUGUUCAUGCUCUGUUUUGCAACUGGACAGUGAGAUUAACCUACAGGGGAAGAAGAAGGUGAUGUCUGGAUUUUUAUACAAUGGAACGGAAGUGGUCCUUUCUUUUUCUUUUUCUGAGGGUAACCCCUUACUUCUCAUGUAACGGCGCUCCAU